UACGUAGGGGGCGAGUGUUGUCCGGAUUUAUUGGGCGUAAAGAGCGUGUAGGCGGCCAGGUAGGUCCGUUGUGAAAACUCGAGGCUCAACCUCGAGACGUCGGCGGAAACCCUCUGGCUAGAGUCCGGAAGAGGAGAGUGGAAUUCCUGGUGUAGCGGUGAAAUGCGCAGAUAUCAGGAAGAACACCCGUGGCGAAGGCGGCUCUCUGGGACGGUACUGACGCUGAGACGCGAAAGCGUGGGGAGCAAACAGG
Molecule: ribosomal RNA, 253 nt
Filed under: uncultured bacterium
Lineage: Bacteria
Description: partial 16S ribosomal RNA
Rfam family: Bacterial small subunit ribosomal RNA
Source: RNAcentral